GGUGGCUCAGUGGUAGAGCGCUUGCCUUGCAUGCCUGAGGCCCUGGGUUCGAUUCCCAAUACCA
RNAcentral lists this transfer RNA (64 nucleotides) under Dipodomys ordii (Ord's kangaroo rat). It matches the Rfam family "tRNA". From Rfam's summary of the family: Transfer RNA (tRNA) molecules are approximately 80 nucleotides in length. Their secondary structure includes four short double-helical elements and three loops (D, anti-codon, and T loops). Lineage: Eukaryota; Metazoa; Chordata; Mammalia; Rodentia; Heteromyidae. The record is from Rfam by way of RNAcentral.